RNAcentral lists this ribosomal RNA (207 nucleotides) under uncultured bacterium. RNAcentral describes it as "partial 16S ribosomal RNA". It matches the Rfam family "Bacterial small subunit ribosomal RNA", at positions 568 to 774 of the family's 1533-position model. The record is from RNAcentral.
CUCGUAGGUGGCCAACUAAGUCGGACGUGAAAUCCCUCGGCUUAACCGGGGAACUGCGUCCGAUACUGGUUGGCUUGAGUUUGGGAGAGGGAUGCGGAAUUCCAGGUGUAGCGGUGAAAUGCGUAGAUAUCUGGAGGAACACCGGUGGCGAAGGCGGCAUCCUGGACCAAUACUGACGCUGAGGAGCGAAAGUCAGGGGAGCAAACG